GGCUCAGUGGUGGAGCGCUUGCCUAGCAUGCAUGAGGCACUGGGUUCGAUCCCCAG
Molecule: transfer RNA, 56 nt
Filed under: Ictidomys tridecemlineatus (thirteen-lined ground squirrel)
Lineage: Eukaryota; Metazoa; Chordata; Mammalia; Rodentia; Sciuridae
Description: Spermophilus tridecemlineatus (thirteen-lined ground squirrel) tRNA
Rfam family: tRNA
About the family: Transfer RNA (tRNA) molecules are approximately 80 nucleotides in length.
Source: Rfam by way of RNAcentral